Molecule: long non-coding RNA, 4223 nt
Organism: Gasterosteus aculeatus aculeatus (three-spined stickleback)
Lineage: Eukaryota; Metazoa; Chordata; Actinopteri; Perciformes; Gasterosteidae
Source: Ensembl
GGGAUUCCCUCCCCUCGCGCGCUGCACUCCGGAGUCCGGUUACUGGCCGUUGCAAGGAAAAGGCAACUAUUCAAAUUUGAGCUGUAAGAGCCCGUGCAACGCGCGCGCCUUUUUUUUUAUUACCACACGUGGCGCAGAGAAAAACACGCCGUGUAGGUUUUCUGUGCUGCAAUGUAUCGCAGAUCCGCAUCUGUGAGCGCAUUGAACGCCUCGCGCAGCAGGUGGGCACGCGCAUGUAUAGACUCCGCGAAGACGGCUCCCAUGAGCCUCUGCGCCCUGUCACCAAAGCAGCGCUCACGCCGAACGGACGCGUGUCUCCCACAGUGGGCAUUUGUGUUAAUUCCACGGCGCUGCAGCGUGGAGAGCGCCCGCUGUUGCCACUCGGCGGGAGGGAGACAAACGCGCGCCAACGGUGACUCGGACACGGCUCCCGAAGAAGGGCCCGGCGCCCAGAAUGUGACACGUUACACGAGAUGGAGUAACGUAUUAAUCGUAAUCCAAUACGCCGCGACCGCCUAAUUAAUCUGCAUCACCGCAGACGCGGCUCUCGCUGUUUUUGGUUUCUUUUUGCGGCGGGCGUCUUUGGCAGAAAGACUCGCUCGCAUAGAAAGUUUCAGGGGGAAAGUUUGGUCGAGGGAAAAUAAUCUAAAGGGGGAUUUUCUGAGGUGACCACCGCGGAGCGACUGGCUUUGUAUGCGAUUGCUCAUAACGCGAACACUUCAAUUACACUGCUACAGUUCUUCCAAUAUGUCACCCUUUCCGAAGUAAGGGGGUGUUUGUGUUAAUUUGUUGCAGGCGUUACCUUUUGACCUGUGCCAUGGUACACAACACGACCGCACGCGGACUUUCAGUAAACCUUUAUUUUCAACGAUAUUAAUGAAUAAUUAGCGUUCAUCCAUCCACAGGCGACCCAGGUUUUUGAGCGGGCGACGGUGUUGCUAAGCGACACAGUUUCCUGGUAAAUUGCUCGGGGCGACUCUAAUCCGCCAUAGUCCUAUAAUUAAUGCCGUAAUAUCAUUUGAGACGCACCCGUCGGCGUCGAUUUGGGGGAAGCAAAGGUAUGGCACUGUGACAGGUUCUGUUCCUUAUACCAGUCUAAUUUGGAUCCUUUAAGUACAUAAUGAGAUAUCAUCACGCGCAGCGCUAUGUGACGCCCAUCAGUCAGACGUCGUUGCUCCAAUCGGUCAUUAGUGUCACGGGGGGGUUGAGUGUAGAUGAGAGGCUUAUUAAAUAAAACUUCUAAAAAACGGGCAUUGCGGUGCCAUAAGGUCACGUGAACAGGUGCGCUCGUCGAUGCUUGUGCGCACCUGCUUCGGCUGAUUCGCAGGUGGUGCACUAUGGACUCGUCGGUGUGCCUCCGUCACACCUCAUAGACGUCGGUGCCGUAGAACCCGCCAUGGAGUCCACGCAGGUAUUACGUUCAACGGGCGAUGCGCACGUGGGGUUUUACCAAGCUGGCCGCUACAGGUGACGCAAGCAGGGCUGACGUGGCCCUAAUGCCGCCAUCAGUCCGUCUGCCAAAACCGGAUGGCAGAUUGUAAAUUAAGGGCAGUCAAAUGCUUUUGUCCGGGGGCGGUGAAACAAAUGGCAAUAUUGAAAUGAGGUUCUUGGCGACAUUAAAGCUAAAUGGGAGAGCCUAUAAAGAGGCUGUACGCGGAAGGGAACAUGCAUUGCAUUUCAGGCGAAACAUGAAACAACAACCUCUUCCUCGUCAAACUCCACUCCGAGUUUCUGCUGCCUCAAAUUCUUGUAAUAUUUUAUAUAUAUCUUUUAAUGGCCAUAAAUACAUUUAGUGCAUAAGUUGGUGUUGAACUUUAAAUGUAUUUAAAGAGAAAACUAGUUCAUAUGUGGAUGUUUUUGUGCCAUAUUGACAUGGAAAGUGGAGUUUACAGCUCCAACAUCUGUUCUGGAUGCUCUUCCUGCGUCUAGCAUUUUAAAUGGGGGAGACAUAAUUCCAUGCAAGGAAGAACUAUGAGCUAUUUAAGUGUGGAUUUCUCCGGUUAGCUGUAUGCUGCUCGUAUGACAGUAUGGCUGGGGGGGGGGGGGGAUCAUGGCAGAAGCCUUCACCAAAUGCACACGUACCGCUGCCACAGCUGCUUGAGCAGGAGAUCCUGGCUUUUUGGGUGCACAUAAUGACGUUUGCAUCGCUUCAGUUGCAGCCUGAUCUCCAAAACCUGUCCGUAAAAAUGUGUACGAAAAUCUUCAACAUACAAAUUUGUAGUGAUACAUACGAAAUAAAUACGGAGUGCAACUGAUGACGUCACCCUAAUCAAAGUGAAUGGGGACCUGCACCCCGUAAACACACUUUGUGAAGUCUAAUGAUGUAAAAUAAACGUGUUAUGAUUGCAUUUUUAACGAGAAAUCAAUGUUAAAUUGUAAGAAUACACUACUAACCCUAACCCCCUCAAAAAACCCAACGUGACGUUCACUCAAGAAUCCAACAUGGUCCGCCAUGUUGUUCACUCAAGGGCGUGGUUAACCACCGCCAGUUCGUAUGUAUUGUUACGAAUUUGUAUGUUCAAGAUUUUCGUAUACAUUUUUACGAACAGGUUUUGUAGAUCACGUUGUCAGUUGACAACAUUUAGCGUUAACAUGGAUCGGACAUCCACAUGAAAGGUGCUGAAUUUAACCCGUGAAGUACAAGUCGGAGGCACUGUACAGCCACUACUUCACUACUUUUCAAAGGUUUUCCAAUCAACUGCAUAUAAAGUAUUCACAACCACCACAUGAGCAUGCCCAGUAUCCCGUGAAGGUACAAAGGCUAAGUUCUUGUAGAAUACACAAAAAACAUUGAGUUACUCAUUCAACGGCUUGUCAAAAACGUUUUUUUGCUCCUGUCUCUCUCUGUGUGCCUCCCUUUAGCGUCAUUCACCUGUCAUGUUGUAAUACCUCAACCUGGAUAAAAGCUCUGCAUGAUCGUCAUGGCUAAUCUCACAGCUCAGGUGCUGCUAACAGGACACACGCAGGCACCAAAGUGCUGACUGUGGGAGCACGGAGGGAGUUAAUGAACAAUCAGCGUGACGGACAGUGGGAUUUAUUACCCUGCUAUAGUGCUUCAGGAACACACUUAAUAUGCAGUUUAGCCGCAAUGCUUUCCUGCUACAUGAUGCUGCAAGUUGGGUCAACUUGCAGCAUCCCCCCACACAAACUGUCGACAAUGGAUUAACAACCAUUGAAACCAUCCCGCUGUGCUCUGACAAUGUGGUGGCAACCACGAGCUCCUUGGUCAUAGUGUCUAACUAAUGUCUAUCUAAUCAGCAGUUUCAACAGGAUUCCCACUGUGCUAGAACAUGUCUUUAAAAAACAAAACAGAGGCUGGAUGUCAGACAGCUCCCGUGAAUUAAAGCAACCAGCCCUCGAUGAUUUCAUUUACCGGUUGCCUUGGUGACUCAUGUAAAGCAGUGGAAUACAACAGCACAGUGGGAUAAUUUGAUCGCUCUUAACCUCUGGAGUGGCGUUGCAGAGGGAAGAAUGGGAAUUCAUUUGCUACGUAUCCUCCAAUAAGGUCGGUCACUUUCAGUGCGAGAAUCCGGAUCUCGGCUAACAGCCAACUUCACAUCAUCAAAGCUUAAAUAAAAGAAAAAUAAUCCAGCGGCGCAUCUAAAAAUAAUUCCAAUGUUAUCAUUUUUCACAACUGGAGAACAGUCAUUUGGAGCAUAAAAAAGGGACGAGUUUGUUUGGCAGCGUAGAGCUCAAGUUGAGCUGAGGAAGACAACAAUCACGACUAAAGAAUCGUGAUACGUGGAGACAACUGUCAAUCAAGAAAGACCUCUUUAACCCUUAUUAUCCUCUGAAUGAAACAAGAAAAUGGCACAGGGAAAAUCAGCAGUUAAGGAAGUCCUGCGGGACCUGACCCGCUGGUCCACAGGAGCAGACAGAGGUCAACAGUUUACAGCUGCACCGAGGUUGUGAGGCGGGUGAGACCUGGUUGUGGUGGAGCUGCCAGCUGCCGGUUACACUGAAGCAGUGUGGCUGCCGCGUGGAGAGAGGGACAAACACACACACACUGACAUUUUCCUCUGCUGCUGCAUUCAACAUUAAAACACGAGGCUCACUUGUAUCAGACAGGAUAUGCAAACACCAAUACCAGAAGGCCAACAUGUGGUUUUGUAUCUGCCGUUCCAGUACUUAUCUCAAGCACAUUCGCGUAUAGAUUGGAGUCGCAAAGUUGGAACAUUUGGCCUUAUUAUUUUGCAUUUCUGUGCCUUAUUUACAGACUUAGC